This 252-nucleotide ribosomal RNA is filed under the name uncultured bacterium. RNAcentral's name for it is "partial 16S ribosomal RNA". It matches the Rfam family "Bacterial small subunit ribosomal RNA", at positions 524 to 776 of the family's 1533-position model. The record is from RNAcentral.
UACAGAGGGUGCAAGCGUUAAUCGGAAUUACUGGGCGUAAAGCGCGCGUAGGUGGUUUGUUAAGUUGAAUGUGAAAUCCCCGGGCUCAACCUGGGAACUGCAUGCAAACUGGCAAGCUAGAGUAUGGUAGAGGGUGGUGGAAUUUCCUGUGUAGCGGUGAAAUGCGUAGAUAUAGGAAGGAACACCAGUGGCGAAGGCGACCACCUGGACUGAUACUGACACUGAGGUGCGAAAGCGUGGGGAGCAAACAGG